This 579-nucleotide ribosomal RNA is filed under the name uncultured bacterium. RNAcentral's name for it is "partial 16S ribosomal RNA". It matches the Rfam family "Bacterial small subunit ribosomal RNA", at positions 355 to 927 of the family's 1533-position model. The record is from RNAcentral.
UGGGGAAUUUUGGACAAUGGGCGAAAGCCUGAUCCAGCAAUGCCGCGUGUGUGAAGAAGGCCUUCGGGUUGUAAAGCACUUUUGUCCGGAAAGAAAUCCUUGGCUCUAAUACAGUCGGGGGAUGACGGUACCGGAAGAAUAAGCACCGGCUAACUACGUGCCAGCAGCCGCGGUAAUACGUAGGGUGCAAGCGUUAAUCGGAAUUACUGGGCGUAAAGCGUGCGCAGGCGGUUUGCUAAGACCGAUGUGAAAUCCCCGGGCUCAACCUGGGAACUGCAUUGGUGACUGGCAGGCUAGAGUAUGGCAGAGGGGGGUAGAAUUCCACGUGUAGCAGUGAAAUGCGUAGAGAUGUGGAGGAAUACCGAUGGCGAAGGCAGCCCCCUGGGCCAAUACUGACGCUCAUGCACGAAAGCGUGGGGAGCAAACAGGAUUAGAUACCCUGGUAGUCCACGCCCUAAACGAUGUCAACUAGUUGUUGGGGAUUCAUUUCCUUAGUAACGUAGCUAACGCGUGAAGUUGACCGCCUGGGGAGUACGGUCGCAAGAUUAAAACUUAAAUGAAUUGACGGGGUCNUAGCUG